RNAcentral lists this ribosomal RNA (424 nucleotides) under uncultured prokaryote. Its description in RNAcentral is "bacterial SSU rRNA". It matches the Rfam family "Bacterial small subunit ribosomal RNA", at positions 355 to 796 of the family's 1533-position model. The record is from RNAcentral.
UGGGGGAUCUUAGACAAUGGGCGCAAGCCUGAUCUAGCGAUGCCGCGUGAGUGACGAAGGCCCUAGGGUCGUAAAGCUCUUUCGCCAGGGAUGAUAAUGACAGUACCUGGUAAAGAAACCCCGGCUAACUCCGUGCCAGCAGCCGCGGUAAUACGGAGGGGGUUAGCGUUGUUCGGAAUUACUGGGCGUAAAGCGCACGUAGGCGGACUAUUAAGUCAGGGGUGAAAUCCCGGGGCUCAACCCCGGAACUGCCUCUGAUACUGGUAGUCUAGAGUUCGAGAGAGGUGAGUGGAAUUCCAAGUGUAGAGGUGAAAUUCGUAGAUAUUUGGAGGAACACCAGUGGCGAAGGCGGCUCACUGGCCCGGAACUGACGCUCAUGUGCGAAAGCGUGGGGAGCAAACAGGAUUAGAUACCCCCGUAGUCC